This is a long non-coding RNA of Gasterosteus aculeatus aculeatus (three-spined stickleback), 2593 nucleotides long. The record is from Ensembl. Lineage: Eukaryota; Metazoa; Chordata; Actinopteri; Perciformes; Gasterosteidae.
GCCGCGUUCCUUCAUCGCACACAUACACACUGUAUGUAGUUUGUUUCUACUACAUCCAAACACCGGAUUAGUCCACCGCUGAAAAUAGUUCCCAUCCGGGUGUCCCGCUGCUUCGGGAAGCGCUUCAAAAGUACGGAGAGACGAACUAAAUCGUCGCUGGAUUUGAUGUUUGUUGAAAAUACGAGCAAUUAUUUUUCUACAUAAAUGUUUUUGAAAAUACUUUUUUUUUUACUACGUUUUCUGCCUUUUAGCUGUUGACUUCCUGCCAGUGAAGUUCAGAAAUGUAGUUGACGCUGACCUUUGACCUGAUGAUUCCUCCUUUGGGAAUCUACUGAAUGUCCCAUAAACAGAGACUUCCUGGCUGAUUGUGUCGUGGCGCUGCGGGGGACAAAAAAGGAAACACGUGGAGAUCCAAUAAAUUCUUUUUAUCGAUUUUCCAAUAAAAAAUACAUUCAUACAGAAACUAUUUUACAAAACAAUUUCAAAUGAAAAAAUCUUGUUAUGCCAUAAAACAAACAAAAAUAGAGCCUCGUAUUCUCAUCUCCGUGGUUAUCCGAUAAAGAUUCUCAAGCUAAAGAGUCUUUAAAAAGUUGAGAAAAAGAUCACAUGGCAAAAAAAAACAAAAAACAUAACACUUAGCGAGCAACAGAAUGCAGAAUUAUAACAAUUCAAGUGUCCAGAACAAUUCACAUCUGAAAAGUCUUUUUUUUGUCUUGUUUUGCGUUUUCUUGAAAGAUGACAGGCCACAGGUGUUUUUACGCAAACGAUGCCCUUUUCUUUCUUCUUUUUAAACGUACAUUUGCUUCACCGUCCAAUCAAAAGCUGAUCAAGAACAAAGGUGUUAAGAGAAGCGAAUGAGGGGGGGAAGGAGUGAGUCAUUUUUACAAUAAUUCUUCAGGCUCUCGUCUUUACUGCUCUCGAAACAACACACUGCGCUCGUUUUUUUUGGUCCCAUACCCUUUCAAAAUAGAAGCUUCCUUACAAAAUUCUCUUAGUUUACAAUGUACAUGUCUUUGCAUUCUUGGUAUUCUCAGUGUAUGGACUUUCUUUAACGCUGCCCACGUUCACCUGCACAGAUCAACGGACGAUCGACCCCUUAAAACCGGCCGUACCUUUCAUAGCCGAUCGGGAUCUUUGUCAACACUUUCAUGAGCCUUUCAAUUUCAAACAAAAGUCAAAGCUCAUCUAAUUGUGAAUUUAAAAAAAAAAAAAAAACCUCUCAAAAAGUCCAGGGAGGAGCGCGUCGAAGUCGAGGAACUCAAGUUAAAACGCGGAUGUGGUGAAGGUGUUACGGACAAACGUGUCUCCUCUCAGGUCGGACGAGGACAGAAACCUCCUGACCUGCAGCACGAGUCCCAGCUGAACCGGUCGGGCGGUUUUCUUUUUCGUACCGCUUGUUCAGAUCACGGGUUGUUUCAACCACACCGAUUGGCCCGAGGGGCGAGACUCUCCAAAAACACACAACAUCAAAACACACUCGCGAUGGAGAAAGUCGUCAUCGCUUCGGCGGGACUCCUUUCCUUUAGAGACUUUUUCGACACAUGAACGGCGACGUGGAAACACCUUCUUUGCGGUUAAAAUCCUAAUCUGUCACAGCCUCGGUGGCCGGGCCGGCCACGUUUUCAUGAGAACAUAUUUCCAAAACUCUGUACCCUUGACGGCGAGUAUCCUCGCCAAUUUGUACUACACAGUAGUAACUCUUUACAAAACUGAGUUGCUUUUUCGAGUGCUCCAAGAUUCUGUCCGGGACCUGGAUCCUUUUUUGGGGUGAAUUAUUUAGUCUAGAUAAUAGUUAUAACGAUAUGUUCAACAGAGAAAUUGCCAGUCAUUAUCAAGAUGAUGUUUAGCCGUUUUCUGUAUUGUUAUUAGUUAGGAGGAAUCGGUUGCCAGACAAAAGGGGCGAAGGUGCGACUGCACGGAACAGAGCCUUUUUAAAAAAAAAGCAAUUCAAUAACCGCAACCCGCAGAUGUGUGUGUGUGUGUGUGAGAAAGAGAUCUAUCUUACAGGACAAGGCCACUUACAUAAGGCAUCAGUAAGGUCAACAGUGCAUUUACAGGUAGAACAAAAGACAAGAGCAAAAGUGAAGAAACAAAUCCCACAAUCAAGAAAGUUGCCAAGCAACAGUGGUAUCCCCAGAUCCCAUGCGAGUCCUGUUAUAAUGGCAUAACUGUUUUGUGUACAACCGUUUUUUUUUUUUGUAAUUUCGUUUUUUAGGAUACAAAGUUUACACAAUGGACAACAAAAUGAGCUUAAUAGCGUGUAUGCUUUUAAGACAGGCUACGUAAUACAUUGCACUUUUAAUAGCUGCACUAAACUAAACGACCUCCCGUGUUUUUUGGAAAAAAUCAAAAGGGGGGGGUGGAGGGGUGGCCGCAGUUUUGUCGCCUCCGGGCAGAAAGGGGGCGCUCUUCUCUCUGCUGGCACGGUGUUGUUGUUGUUGUUGUUUGCAUUCAUUGUCAGUGAGACCACGGGUACCCCCCCCCCAAAAAAAAAUCUCCCUCCCCCUUUUCUAACAUCCGUGUCAUUCACCCGCUGUUCCACAAUGCAAGCUCCAUCCGCUCCAUGAAAGCCGGCACAGGCGUCCAGUCUCAG